UCUAUGUGGUAGAGAAGUUUCUCAUUUUCCUGACUUUGCUUGGAGCCCAGGCUCAGAUACAAACUGGAGGAUAAAAGGAGGCUACUUAAAAUAACACCAGCUAUUUUUAUAAAAGUGAUAAAAUAUCUUGAGCAAGAGAGUGGCUCUUAAAACCAGCCGCUAUGGUCGCUCCUCUUGAUGAAGAAGGUUUAUUCUCAUGACACAUUUCAUAGCUUUAUAAUCUGGGCUAUUAGAAAACAGAAAGCCCAAGGAGCAUUUAUGACAUCUUAUAAGGCUGAGGUUAUUUUAAAAUCUCAUGAAACCAUGGACAAAUAUUCUUCAAAAUCUGAAAGUAUGAUUCUGGGAGUCUGGGUAUGGAGAGAAACACUUCUCCGGUAUUAA
RNAcentral lists this long non-coding RNA (381 nucleotides) under Sus scrofa (pig). RNAcentral describes it as "lncRNA (ENSSSCG00070022449.1)". Lineage: Eukaryota; Metazoa; Chordata; Mammalia; Artiodactyla; Suidae. The record is from RNAcentral.